AGGUCCUCAAAAAGAGUGCUAUGUGGGAAAUCCCAGAAAAUAUGUGGCUAAAUUACACCAUGGUUUUGGACAGGUUGAACCUGUGAAUAUGGAACCCAUGGAUAUGGAGGGCCAAUUGUACUUCCAUCCUGCCUAAGUCCAGCAAGAAGAAAAGGCAGGAUUCCCUAACUCAGUGGUGGCUGUCAGGGUUCCAGGUGAGAAACAUACUGCAUUCAGCCUUUUCUGAGGCACGGGAGAUUCACCUAUGGCUACGUUGCUGGAUCUCCAUUUUAAUCUCUUCUCUUAAGGUUAUGAAGCCAACUGUUUUCCUCCAUGUACAGAUGUGCUGAGGCAGGAACUCAUUUCCAUUGGAAAUCAGCUUCUGAGGAUGGAGGCUUCUGGAAGAAGCCGGCACUCAACCUACAGGACAAGCAUGGCUGGAUUCUUGAACUGGUCGUUCACAUCCAUCAGCUCAUCUGAUGUCAGCACCUUAGCACCUGUCUCACCCCAGUCGCUUUGCCAGAACUGCACCUUCACCAUGAAGCACCAUGGAUUUUCUUGAUUCAGAAUUGGACUUCAGUAUUUUUACUUUCUGACAAAAAAAAAGAAGACAUCAUGAAGAGGAUAGAUUGUCAAGCCUUUUCUAUGUCUUUUCCAGUGCUGUUUAGAAUCAGUUUAUAAAUGACUUCUCUC
Molecule: long non-coding RNA, 672 nt
Organism: Tupaia belangeri chinensis (Chinese tree shrew)
Lineage: Eukaryota; Metazoa; Chordata; Mammalia; Scandentia; Tupaiidae
Exons: 5
Source: RefSeq, a predicted model, not a curated record